GAUGAACGCUGGCGGCGUGCCUAACACAUGCAAGUCGAACGGGGAUAGGAUGAAACCUAGUGAUUCCUAUUCUAGUGGCGGACGGGUGAGUAACGCGUGGAUAACCUGCCUUGUACAGGGGGAUAACACCUGGAAACAGGUGCUAAGACCGCAUAAGCGCACAGUCUCGCAUGGGACAGUGUGAAAAACUCCGGUGGUACAAGAUGGAUCCGCGUCUGAUUAGCCAGUUGGCGGGGUAACGGCCCACCAAAGCGACGAUCAGUAGCCGGCCUGAGAGGGUGAACGGCCACAUUGGGACUGAGACACGGCCCAG
Molecule: ribosomal RNA, 313 nt
Filed under: uncultured bacterium
Lineage: Bacteria
Description: bacterial SSU rRNA
Rfam family: Bacterial small subunit ribosomal RNA
Source: RNAcentral